AUGGGAUUUUGUCUAUUCAAUAACGUGGCUGUUGCAACAAGUUUUCUAUUAGAUGAAAGACCAGAAUUGGGUAUUAAAAAGAUUCUGAUUGUUGACUGGGAUGUUCAUCAUGGUAAUGGUACGCAAAAGAUGUUUUGGAAGGACCCUCGUGUCCUGUUCUUCUCUGUUCAUAGGCAUGAGUUUGGGUGCUUUUACCCUGCUAACGAUGAUGGUUUUUAUACUAUGAUUGGGGAAGGACCAGGUGCGGGAUAUAACAUAAAUGUUCCUUGGGAGAAUGGAAGAUGUGGGGAUGCAGACUAUCUUGCUGUUUGGGACCAUAUAUUGAUACCUGUUGCUAAGGACUUUGAUCCUGACAUGAUUAUAGUGUCUGCAGGAUUUGAUGCAGCCGUCGGUGAUCCUCUUGGCGGUUGUUGUGUCACACCAUAUGGAUAUUCAGUAUUGUUGAAAAAGUUAAUGGAUUUUGCCCAUGGUAAGAUUGUGUUGGCAUUAGAAGGAGGUUACAAUCUUGACUCCAUAGCAAAUUCAUUCCUUGCUUGCAUGGAAGUUUUGCUUGAAAGCAAGCCUUUCGCUGGAUCUUCAGAGGCCAAGCCAUUUGAGUCCACAUGGCGUGUGAUACAGGCGGUUCGUAAGAAAUUAAGUGCUUACUGGCCUGCACUUGCAGAAGAAAUACCCCUGAAGCAUCUUUUGAUCUCAAGCUUUGAUUACGAAGAUGAGGGUGACAAAACUCCAAAUACUGUGUCAGAAAAUACGGUGGCAGUUGUUCAGGAUAUUAUUGAACCUCUUUCAAGGCUGAAAGUUGAAGAUGGUCAUGAUCAAGCGGUAGCAAAGCCUAUUCCCUGGAGAUCAGAGCUUUCAAAGAUAGACAUUUGGUAUGCUACUUUUGGAUCAAAUAUGUUGAAACGAAGGUUCCUUUGCUAUAUUCAAGGUGGUCAGGUCGAUGGUAUGAAGGAGCCAUGCUCUGGUUCAAUGGAUAGAAACCCUCCAAAAGAUAUUUUGUGGAAAAUUUUCUCCCACAGAUUGUUCUUUGGCCGUGAAUCUUCACGUACAUGGGGUCCUGGCGGCGUUGCUUUCCUUCAUCCUGAAAGUAGUGUUGGUGAAAAAGCUUACAUGUGCUUGUAUAGAAUAACGCUGGAGCAGUUCAAUGAUGUUUUGUUUCAAGAAAAUGGUUCAAGUUAUGAGAUGGGUUCUCCGGCAUUUGAUUUGGCAGAUCUACAGACAGUCACAAACCAAGGGUCCAUUUCUUUGGAGGUUUUUAAGAGGAGUUGGUACCAUAAUGUAGUUUACUUGGGAAAGGAGCAGGAUAUUCCUAUUCUGACUAUGACCUGCUCACUUUCAACUUUUGUGAGCUUUAAAUCAGGGAAACUUCCCCUGCGUGGUCCUUGCAAAGAAUACGCCAACAUCUUAGUCCAAGGGCUGAUGGAAGGACAGCUCUCAGAAGAGGAGGCCACUGCCUACUUAGAAGAAGCCUCUUCUAGACCACUAUGAUGGCAACUGUCUAGUUUUCACAUUUAUUCUCGUAAAUGUUUCAAACUAGUAGCUUUGAUUGCACAUUAAAAGCAAAUCUUGCUCAUCCGAUAGCUUCAGAAACCAAAAGGUUGUGGCAAAUUAAGGUCCAUUUGUAUUGCAAUCAAGUGUUGAGGGUGCAGCAGUGAGUGCAAAUUUACAUACAAUAUAUCGCACCGUUUUCAGAACUAACAUGGAUUUGUAUUUGCUAAAGCCUGCGAUCCCAUGAGAUGGUUUUUUUUUUAAAAAAAAAAAAAAAA
This 1763-nucleotide unclassified non-coding RNA is filed under the name Hevea brasiliensis (rubber tree). Lineage: Eukaryota; Viridiplantae; Streptophyta; Magnoliopsida; Malpighiales; Euphorbiaceae. The record is from RNAcentral.